UCCCUGAAGGACGAGUGGUUAGGCCUUGGCGCUCUCACCGCCGCGGCCUGGAUUCAAUUCCCAGCCAGGGAA
RNAcentral lists this transfer RNA (72 nucleotides) under Pangasianodon hypophthalmus (striped catfish). RNAcentral's name for it is "tRNA-Glu". It matches the Rfam family "tRNA". Rfam says of the family: Transfer RNA (tRNA) molecules are approximately 80 nucleotides in length. Their secondary structure includes four short double-helical elements and three loops (D, anti-codon, and T loops). Lineage: Eukaryota; Metazoa; Chordata; Actinopteri; Siluriformes; Pangasiidae. The record is from RNAcentral.